RNAcentral lists this ribosomal RNA (412 nucleotides) under Sinumelon serlense. RNAcentral's name for it is "partial 16S ribosomal RNA". It matches the Rfam family "Archaeal large subunit ribosomal RNA", at positions 1903 to 2663 of the family's 2987-position model. The record is from RNAcentral. Lineage: Eukaryota; Metazoa; Mollusca; Gastropoda; Stylommatophora; Camaenidae.
CAAAAACAUAGCUAUUAGAAUUUAGUAAUAGUGAAUUCUGCUCAAUGAAUUUUAAAUAGCCGCAGUACACUGACUGUGCAAAGGUAGCAUAAUCAGUUGGCUUAUAAUUGAAGUCUUGUAUGAAGGAAUAAAUGAGGAGUAACUGUAUCUGGAACAGAAAGUGAAAUUAUUUAGUGAGUGCAAAUUCUCAUAAAUACAUAAUAGACGCGRAGACCCUAGAAAUUUUAAAUAUUUGUAUGGUGAUUUUUUGUUGGGGCMACAGUGUAACAGAUAACUUACAUUAUAGUACAAGAAAUUUAUUUGAAAGAAUGAAAUUACUCUAGGGAUAACAGCGUAAUAUUUAUAUGUUUGCGACCUCGAUGUUGGACUAGGAAACGAAUACUUAAAAGGUUUAGUUGUAACGCUCUGUUCG